Molecule: long non-coding RNA, 824 nt
Organism: Entelurus aequoreus (snake pipefish)
Lineage: Eukaryota; Metazoa; Chordata; Actinopteri; Syngnathiformes; Syngnathidae
Exons: 3
Source: RefSeq, a predicted model, not a curated record
GCUUGCACUUUUAACAUGGAGGAUUACAUAUCUAAAAUAAAACCGUUUUCUAAACUGGACUUUCAAUCGAAGCAGGAGGUAAUAAUUAAAGGAAUAUCUCCAGAGACUUUUAAAAUUGAAGAAAGAUGAGAAAGACUGCCUUUGAUCAGAAGCAGCUGCACAUGGACCCAUCUACAAGUAAAGGUAUGAAUGUCCUGCGAUGAGGUGGCGACUUGUCCAGGGUGUACCCCGCCUUCCGCCCGAUUGUAGCUGAGAUAGGCUCCAGCGCCCCCGAAGGGAAUAAGCGGUAGAAAAUGGAUGGAUGGAGUUGAUGGACAGCAAACUGAAGCUGGUAGCUCCCUCCAGGGGCCUGCCACCGCUGCUCUGGAUUCGCCGACCUCACGGAAGGAAAGUCACUGCCACUCUGCCUGUCACAGGAAGCCUCUCCAUCCUUCAUUUUCCUAUGACUUGGAGAGCAGGGAUGUCACACAACAUAGCUUGUGUUUGCUGGAUUUGUGUGGGCUUUCAUACAAAAAUGUUUUGUUAGUUUAUUAAUCUUAUGACCAAACAUAACAUGCCUUAUAACAAUGACCACCGCACAAUGACUGUUAAAACCAUGGCAAAAUAUUAAAUUUUUAGUGUGCCAUGUUUGUAGUAUGUUGUUGCAAGACUCCCAAUUGAGUCAAUUGCUGCAUGAAGCUUCAUGAUGCUGGAAAAUGUACUUUGUGCCCGAAUAUCUGUAUUGAUUUUUUUUUUUCGGAAAGAUAUAUGAUCAUUUUGGUUUGUAGUCUUCCUUUUGGACAUAAUUUGUAGAUAUAAUUGUGUAAUAAAUGUGUUAACAUUUA